Molecule: long non-coding RNA, 860 nt
Filed under: Olea europaea subsp. europaea
Lineage: Eukaryota; Viridiplantae; Streptophyta; Magnoliopsida; Lamiales; Oleaceae
Source: RNAcentral
GUAACUCUUUAAGUUACAUUUUCAACGCACUUUGAAUCACCUCAAUUGGAUGCCAGGAGAUAAAGUUAUGACAAAAAUAUUGAAAGCAGAGCGGAGAACAUAACUAGUAAAACGACGCGUGCGAGAUCACAAAUUUCAUGACCCGAGAGCCAUAUGGUUCAAUGGCACACAUGGUGGGCCUACCUGUGCAGCGCACAGGCUUUUUCCAUAGAUGAAUCAACAAUUUCCUUUAAUGAUUCAAACUCUUUUGGAUCCUAAUUGGACGUAAUUUUAACCUAUUUUCUUGCUCUUGUAGAUAGAAAACAAGGGUUGACAUAUCCGUUCGAAUAUGAAGAUAUCUAUAUUUGAUGAACCAACCUCCAAGGCAUUAAAAUAGUGGCACAUAGCAGCGAAAAAAAAGCAAGGAGGGAAAGGAGGAAGAUCCCCAAGAAUGUUGGGUAGUGGAAGUCCAACUUCUUCAAUGGGUUCACUUGGGCCUACACUUCAUCGUCUUGAAACUACAGUUUUCCCAAGGUAUGAGGAAUACGAAGGAUCAUCGGACCUUGAGGCGGACCCAUGUAUGGAAAAAACUUCUAGUUGCAUAGUAAGAGUUGAACAUGAUUGUCGCAGAAAUCCCUCAAGAAAUUUUUAAUUUUGGACUCAAAAAAAACCAAAUGAACACCACUCGAUCUCAGCUCAACCCAAAACUUUACCUUUACUUUUGGUUGCUCCAAGUUCUCUCAAACCACACAAAGAGGAAUGGAUGGUGGUGGUACUUGCAAGAAUAGUAAGAAUAAGCAACAAUGGUGAAAAUCUCUUUCACCCUUUCUCCCCCAAGCCGGUUGCCCUCCCUUUCUCUCAUUUUCUCUCUUGCAUUACAC